This 440-nucleotide ribosomal RNA is filed under the name Enterococcus sp. oral taxon A78. RNAcentral describes it as "bacterial SSU rRNA". It matches the Rfam family "Bacterial small subunit ribosomal RNA", at positions 28 to 456 of the family's 1533-position model. The record is from RNAcentral. Lineage: Bacteria; Bacillati; Bacillota; Bacilli; Lactobacillales; Enterococcaceae.
GACGAACGCUGGCGGCGUGCCUAAUACAUGCAAGUAGAACGCUGAAGUAAGAGCUUGCUCUUACGGAUGAGUUGCGAACGGGUGAGUAACACGUGGGGAACCUACCUUCUAGCGGGGGAUAACACAUAGAAAUGUGUGCUAACACCGCAUAAUAGUAUUUGAUGCAUAUCAGAUAUUUGAAAGGCGCAAUUGCGUCACUAGAAGAUGGCCCCGCGGUGCAUUAGCUAGUUGGUGAGGUAACGGCUCACCAAGACAAUGAUGCAUAGCCGACCUGAGAGGGUGAUCGGCCACACUGGGACUGAGACACGGCCCAGACUCCUACGGGAGGCAGCAGUAGGGAAUCUUCGGCAAUGGACGCAAGUCUGACCGAGCAACGCCGCGUGAGUGAAAGAAAGGUUUUUCGGAUCGUAAAAACUCUGUUGUAAAGAGAAAGAAACGUU